Molecule: ribosomal RNA, 450 nt
Filed under: uncultured bacterium
Lineage: Bacteria
Description: partial 16S ribosomal RNA
Rfam family: Bacterial small subunit ribosomal RNA
Source: RNAcentral
GUGGGGAAUUUUGGACAAUGGGGGCAACCCUGAUCCAGCCAUGCCGCGUGCGGGAAGAAGGCCUUCGGGUUGUAAACCGCUUUUGUCAGGGAAGAAAUCCUUUGGGUUAAUACCCUGGGUGGAUGACGGUACCGUAAGAAUAAGCACCGGCUAACUUCGUGCCAGCAGCCGCGGUAAUACGAAGGGUGCAAGCGUUAAUCGGAAUUACUGGGCGUAAAGCGUGCGUAGGUGGUUGUUCAAGUCUGUCGUGAAAGCCCUGGGCUCAACCUGGGAAUGGCGAUGGAAACUGGGCGACUAGAGUGCGGUAGAGGAUGGCGGAAUUCCCGGUGUAGCGGUGAAAUGCGUAGAGAUCGGGAGGAACAUCCGUGGCGAAGGCGGCCAUCUGGACCAGCACUGACACUGAGGCACGAAAGCGUGGGGAGCAAACAGGAUUAGAAACCCUUGUAGUCC